Molecule: ribosomal RNA, 546 nt
Filed under: Triticum aestivum (bread wheat)
Lineage: Eukaryota; Viridiplantae; Streptophyta; Magnoliopsida; Poales; Poaceae
Description: partial small subunit ribosomal RNA
Source: RNAcentral
AUGUGUGUGCCCAAGAAACGAGGAGGUAUGGGCUUCAGAGAUUUACACUGUUUUAAUAUGGCUAUGUUAGCGAAGCAAUGUUGGAGACUCUUAUCAGAACCAUAUUCUCUCUGUGCUAAAGUUCUGGGAGAAAAAUAUUUCCCCGAUGGAGAUAUCCUAAAUUGCAAACUAAAAAAGGGGAGCUCCUACACUUGGCAAAGUCUGUGGGGAGGAAUCCAGACUUUUAAAAAAGGACACAUUUGGCGGGUCGGUGAUGGCUCUCAGAUAAAUAUAUGGGAUGAUCCCUGGGUUCCGAGUAGCCCUAAUAGGAAUGUUAUGACCCGGAGAGGUAAUAUCAUUGUCACCAAAGUCUCUGAACUUAUUGAUGCUGAAAGUAGGAAGUGGGAUGAACAACUUAUCAGAGAUAUUUUUUGGCCCAUUGAUGCUCAACGAAUAUUAAAAAUUCCAUUGGCCAUUGGUAUGAUGGAAGACUUUGUGUCGUGGCACCUUAAUAGGAACGGGAUCUUCUCUGUUAGAUCGGUGUACCAUCAAGAAUGGGAUCACUAA